RNAcentral lists this ribosomal RNA (605 nucleotides) under Gambierdiscus australes. RNAcentral describes it as "SSU rRNA". It matches the Rfam family "Eukaryotic small subunit ribosomal RNA", at positions 55 to 666 of the family's 1831-position model. Lineage: Eukaryota; Dinophyceae; Gonyaulacales; Pyrocystaceae. The record is from RNAcentral.
AUGUCUCAGUUUAAGCAGCUCCAUAGCAACACUGUGCGUGGCUCAUUAAAACAGCCACAACCUGGGUCGUGGUCCUGCUACAUGGAUAUCUUCGGCAAUUCUGCAGCUAAUACAUGCACCAGCAUUCACCUGUGGUGAGUUGUGGUUGUUGCAUUCAGAAUUAAUGCAAGCUGUGCUUGAUGACCAGAUGAAUCAUUACAACUGCAUGGAUUGUAGUUUGUACACUGUUGAUGCUCUAUCAAGGUUUCUGACCUAUCAGCUUCCGAUGGCAGGGUAAAGGCCUACCGUGGCAGUGACAGGUGACGGAGGAUUAGGGUUUGACUCCGGAGAGGGAGCCUGAGAAAUGGCUCCCACAUCUAAGGAAGGCAGCAGGCGCGUGAAUUGCCCAAUCCUGAGAGAGGGAGGUAGUGACAAAAAAUAGCGAUACAAGGCAUCCAUGUUUUGUAAUUGGAAUGAGGGAUCAGUAAAUGUCGUUUUGAGUACCAAUUGGAGGGCAAGUCUGGUGCCAGCAGCCGCGGUAAUUCCAGCUUCAAUAGCGUAUGUUAGAGUUGUUGCAGUUAAAAGGCUCGUAGUUGGAUUUCUGCUGGAGAUUGCUGGUCCGCCCU